Molecule: ribosomal RNA, 207 nt
Filed under: uncultured bacterium
Lineage: Bacteria
Description: partial 16S ribosomal RNA
Rfam family: Bacterial small subunit ribosomal RNA
Source: RNAcentral
CUCGUAGGCGGUUCGUCGCGUCCGGUGUGAAAGUCCAUCGCUUAACGGCGGAUCUGCGCCGGGUACGGGCGGGCUGGAGUGCGGCAGGGGAGACUGGAAUUCCCGGUGUAACGGUGGAAUGUGUAGAUAUCGGGAAGAACACCAAUGGCGAAGGCAGGUCUCUGGGCCGUUACUGACGCUGAGGAGCGAAAGCGUGGGGAGCGAACA